This 253-nucleotide ribosomal RNA is filed under the name uncultured bacterium. RNAcentral's name for it is "partial 16S ribosomal RNA". It matches the Rfam family "Bacterial small subunit ribosomal RNA", at positions 524 to 776 of the family's 1533-position model. The record is from RNAcentral.
UACGUAGGUGGCGAGCGUUGUCCGGAUUUAUUGGACGUAAAGCGCGCGCAGGCGGCGCCGCAAGUCCGGUGUGCAAGCGCCCGGCUCAACUGGGCGAGGUCAUUGGAGACUGCGGUGCUGGAGGGUGGCAGAGGCCGGUGGAAUUCCCGGUGUAGUGGUCAAAUGCGUAGAGAUCGGGAGGAACACCGGUGGCGAAGGCGGGUCUCUGGGCCGAUACUGACGCUGAGGAGCGAAAGCGUGGGGAGCGAACAGG